RNAcentral lists this non-coding RNA (26 nucleotides) under Homo sapiens (human). Lineage: Eukaryota; Metazoa; Chordata; Mammalia; Primates; Hominidae. The record is from RNAcentral.
UGAAAGAGGGCAUGUCUAAUAACAGC